GUUUUCUUUAAGUUCCCAGAAUGUUCUAGGAGAAUGUUCUCUAUAAACAUCCUUACAACGGUUUGUGAUAAUGUUCUUACAAUGUAACAAAUUAAAAUAUUGCUACAUUAUACCCUGAUGUUAUAAUUAUAUUUUUUUUGGUGGAAGUUUCCUUUAAGUUCCCAGAAUGUUCUGGGAGAAUGUAAAACAGUCUAAGAAUAUUUUGUGAUGACUUUGUUACAAUCUCAUAAAUGAAAACAUUGCUACAACAUUAUACCCAAAUGUUCUUCAAAAUGUUCACAGCUGGCAGUGUUAGAAUGAUACAGUUUAAGAAGUGGAUAACAUGCGUUGAAAAAAAAAUCUAUAAAUGUUAUCUUAUGGUAUUUAAACAUUGAAAUGACAUCACCUUUCAAUUUCAAGAUUAAAGUUUACUGAGUGAACACUGGUCAUGAGGAUCACUGAUUAAUUACUUCAAAAUAGAAUUGGACCACGAACCCAUGUAAAUGUUUCACAACACUCAUUUAUUUAAACACUUUAAAAAAAAAAAAAUAGAGAGGGAGAGAGAAAGAUUUUUAAUAACAGGCCAAGCGGGUUGAUGCUCUGUUAGCAGCCUGCAUCGGUUUUCAUAAACAAAUAUCUAAGCAGCACCUUAAGGAGGACGCGUCGCUGGUGUGACUGAGCAGUGGCCAAACAGCAAAUUCUCUGGAUGUGAAAGUUUGGAGGAGUCCUGAUCCUCUUUUCUCCACUUCCACUCGUGCCAUAUAUGUGUCAGAUUCGUAUGACAGGAUUGCGCAGCUCCCCUCCGACACUGCAGGAUCACCGUCUGGUCUGGGUCCACUUGCCUCAUUCACCUGCAUAAUAAAAAAAAAGAGUAUUUAAAAACUGUUUAUGAUUCAUUACUGAUUCAGUAAUUAUUGCAAAUAACCAAUAAUAUCCAAAUAAAGCAGAUAAGUUAAUCUAGUGAUAAUGAUGUGUUGUCGGUGGUGGGGAGAAGAGGCAGCCACGCCACCAACUAUGCUGGUAAAAGCUCCCUGCGUUUGAUAUACUUUCCCUUUCCCUUGAAAUCAAGGACCAUGGAUAGGAUUUGACCUAUGAGAUUAAAAGAAAACCACCAAAGAAAAGAAAAAGGAAAUCUGACCGAGAUAAAACAAGAGAUGACAUCGGGGUAUCUUUCCCCAGGUAGAGAAAACUCAUGAGGGUUAAGAACCUGAAAAUGGACGCGGAGGUUGCAACCUUUUUGCUAGGCGGGUAAAUAAAUCAAACAUUAAAAUUUUAUCUUGACAUAAUGUUACAAACCAGAGCAGUGUAGUCCCACAACUACUUUCACCGUGCAUUAGUGAUAAGAAGAGUACUAUACAAAUGAUGAGCGCUAUAAAAUUGAUGAGCGCUAUGCAAAUGCUAAGUUAAGUGAGUAAACCCACGCAACUUCACUCCGAACUACAUAAUAAACUACAAUGCACCAUUGAACACAUCCUUGUCUGCAGUGUAUCACUUGGCGUAUUAAAUUCUAAUUUCUAGAAUUCAUGCAAUGUUACUACUACUUAAAGAACUAUACCUAAUGACAGAAAAAAGUCUCAAUGUGCAUCAAAAUUUGCAAAUAUGCUCACAUUUUAUCACAAAUUGUACGGCAAUGAACAUGUUUUUUAACAAAUCAAAACACUGACCUGCGUCCCUCUGUGAGGGGCAUAUCUCAUCAUAUCUGAGAUGCAGGUAUCUAUCAGCUUUAGCAGUGUCUUGAGGUGGUUCCUUUGGCAAGCCUCUAAAAAUAAAGUGAGACAGAGAAAAAUGGUUUAGAAAAGCAGAAAUUCAGAAACACGUAUGCUAGUUUAGCAAAAAGGCUAGCGCAUGCAUCUGUCUUAAAGCUAUGAUCUACCAUUUGUAAUUAUUAUUAAAUACAUUUAUAUGGCUUUUAUGGUCAUAUAGUCCGAUCCACACAACAUGAAGAGCAAAAAGAACUAAAAAAAAAUCCAUUCUGUCUAGCAGCUGCAGGACUGCAGAGAAAUUGACCAGUACUAUCCCUUUGUCACGGAUGGCUCACUUUGGCUUGUACCCUACAGCCAAUCCCCUCAACUCCCCUGCUCCUCGUCAUCUUGAGACAUCCUACCUUGUCCCCAUCCCUUCCACAUUUGUAACCGCAGCUCAGCUACAGACUUUGAAACCAAGAAUUCAGAGCCUGCUUGACCCCUCUCCCCCUAGCAGGCCUGCCACUGAAAGCCCCAUAUG
Molecule: non-coding RNA, 2202 nt
Organism: Xyrichtys novacula (pearly razorfish)
Lineage: Eukaryota; Metazoa; Chordata; Actinopteri; Labriformes; Labridae
Source: the annotation of a GenBank genome assembly